UACAGAGGUCCCAAGCGUUGUUCGGAUUCACUGGGCGUAAAGGGUGCGUAGGUGGCUGGGUAAGUUUGAUGUGAAAUCUCCGGGCUUAACCCGGAAAUGGCAUUGAAUACUAUUCGGCUAGAGGUUUGGAGGGGGACUGGAAUUCUCGGUGUAGCAGUGAAAUGCGUAGAUAUCGAGAGGAACACCAGUGGCGAAGGCGAGUCCCUGGACAACACCUGACACUGAGGCACGAAAGCUAGGGGAGCAAACAGG
RNAcentral lists this ribosomal RNA (252 nucleotides) under uncultured bacterium. RNAcentral's name for it is "partial 16S ribosomal RNA". It matches the Rfam family "Bacterial small subunit ribosomal RNA", at positions 524 to 776 of the family's 1533-position model. The record is from RNAcentral.